CGGUCCGUGGUGAAAGCCGCGGGGAUGCCGAAACCGUAGGUCGGAGGUUCGAGUCCUCCCGGGC
This 64-nucleotide transfer RNA is filed under the name Phycisphaerales bacterium. RNAcentral's name for it is "tRNA-Ile". The record is from RNAcentral. Lineage: Bacteria; Pseudomonadati; Planctomycetota; Phycisphaerae; Phycisphaerales.